RNAcentral lists this ribosomal RNA (530 nucleotides) under bacterium E-1-48-6D. Its description in RNAcentral is "bacterial SSU rRNA". It matches the Rfam family "Bacterial small subunit ribosomal RNA", at positions 371 to 891 of the family's 1533-position model. The record is from RNAcentral.
AUGGGCGAAAGCCUGAUCCAGCCAUGCCGCGUGUGUGAAGAAGGUCUUCGGAUGUGUAAAGCACUUUAAGUUGGGAGGAAGGGCAUUAAGCUAAUACCUUGACUGUUUUGACGUUACCGACAGAAUAAGCACCGGCUAACUUCGUGCCAGCAGCCGCGGUAAUACGAAGGGUGCAAGCGUUAAUCGGAAUUACUGGGCGUAAAGCGCGCGUAGGUGGUUCGUUAAGUUGGAUGUGAAAGCCCCGGGCUCAACCUGGGAACUGCAUCCAAAACUGGCGAGCUAGAGUACGGUAGAGGGUGGUGGAAUUUCCUGUGUAGCGGUGAAAUGCGUAGAUAUAGGAAGGAACACCAGUGGCGAAGGCGACCACCUGGACUGAUACUGACACUGAGGUGCGANAGCGUGGGGAGCAAACAGGAUUAGAUACCCUGGUAGUCCACGCCGUAAACGAUGUCAACUAGCCGUUGGGUUCCUUGAGAUCUUAGUGGCGCAGCUAACGCAUNAAGUUGACCGCCUGGGGAGUACGGCCGCAA